GACGAACGCUGGCGGCGUGCUUAACACAUGCAAGUCGAACGGAAAGGCCCUGCUUUUGUGGGGUGCUCGAGUGGCGAACGGGUGAGUAACACGUGAGUAACCUGCCCUUGACUUUGGGAUAACUUCAGGAAACUGGGGCUAAUACCGGAUAGGAGCUCCUGCUGCAUGGUGGGGGUUGGAAAGUUUCGGCGGUUGGGGAUGGACUCGCGGCUUAUCAGCUUGUUGGUGGGGUAGUGGCUUUCCAAGGCUUUGACGGGUAGCCGGCCUGAGAGGGUGACCGGCCACAUUGGGACUGAGAUACGGCCCAGACUCCUACGGGAGGCAGCAGUGGGGAAUAUUGCACAAUGGGCGGAAGCCUGAUGCAGCAACGCCGCGUGCGGGAUGACGGCCUUCGGGUUGGAAACCGCUUUCGCCUGUGACGAAGCGUGAGUGACGGUAAUGGGUAAAGAAGCACCGGCUAACUACGUG
RNAcentral lists this ribosomal RNA (468 nucleotides) under uncultured bacterium. RNAcentral's name for it is "partial 16S ribosomal RNA". It matches the Rfam family "Bacterial small subunit ribosomal RNA", at positions 28 to 507 of the family's 1533-position model. The record is from RNAcentral.